This 497-nucleotide ribosomal RNA is filed under the name uncultured bacterium. Its description in RNAcentral is "partial 16S ribosomal RNA". It matches the Rfam family "Bacterial small subunit ribosomal RNA", at positions 28 to 507 of the family's 1533-position model. The record is from RNAcentral.
GAUGAACGCUGGCGGCGUGCCUAAUACAUGCAAGUCGAGCGAACAGACGAGGAGCUUGCUCCUCUGAGGUUAGCGGCGGACGGGUGAGUAACACGUAGAUAACCUACCUAUAAGACUGGGAUAACUUCGGGAAACCGGAGCUAAUACCGGAUAAUAUAUUGAACCGCAUGGUUCAAUAGUGAAAGACGGUUUUGCUGUCACUUAUAGAUGGAUCCGCGCCGCAUUAGCUAGUUGGUAAGGUAACGGCUUACCAAGGCAACGAUGCGUAGCCGACCUGAGAGGGUGAUCGGCCACACUGGAACUGAGACACGGUCCAGACUCCUACGGGAGGCAGCAGUAGGGAAUCUUCCGCAAUGGGCGAAAGCCUGACGGAGCAACGCCGCGUGAGUGAUGAAGGUCUUCGGAUCGUAAAACUCUGUUAUUAGGGAAGAACAAAUGUGUAAGUAACUAUGCACGUCUUGACGGUACCUAAUCAGAAAGCCACGGCUAACUACGUG